This 24-nucleotide non-coding RNA is filed under the name Rattus norvegicus (Norway rat). The record is from RNAcentral. Lineage: Eukaryota; Metazoa; Chordata; Mammalia; Rodentia; Muridae.
UAUUUUCAGGUUGAUUUGGCCAAA